Long non-coding RNA from Eptesicus fuscus (big brown bat), 1595 nucleotides. RefSeq lists it as uncharacterized. The transcript is spliced from 4 exons. The record is from RefSeq and is a predicted model, not a curated record. Lineage: Eukaryota; Metazoa; Chordata; Mammalia; Chiroptera; Vespertilionidae.
CGGCUGGGCUGGGCUUCGGUUCGGCUCGGGCUGGGUUCGGUUGGUUCUGGGUGGCGCAGGGAGCUGCCGGAGCCGGGCGGGUCGGACUUGGAGCUACACCUGCCUCCGCUGGCCAGUCCGGGAGACGGUGCCUAGUUGCGGCGGCCAUGCACGGGGCGGGCCUGCAGGGCUCAGUGACACGUCACUUCCGCCUAGCUUAGGGUUAGCCUUUCACCGUCCUGGGAGUCGGUUCUCCGGGCCGUGCGGGUCGUGCCCCCCGCCCUGUGAUCUUCGCCCCGCUGGAGCCGGCCCGAGCGAGCUGGCUCUGCGCCGCCGCUGCUCACCUGCUCCCAGCUCCUCGCUCCGCCCGCCGCUGCGUGCGAGCCGAGGCCGCUCUUCCCCCCGUUUGGGCGGCGACGCGAGCCUCUCCGCGAGGCGAUGGUGCUGGUGUGGACUCCGGACCUCAUGGCAGCGCCCUUGCUGCUGGAAGCUUCGCAGGCCCGGGGCUGGAGGAAUGGGCGAUGGGGCGGGAGGAGCUCGAGCUGGGAGUGGGGCCCUGCCGGUGCGGAAGGGUCGCGCCUUCCCUCCCCCGGCCCUGGGCUGCGGACGCGGACUGAAGGAGGUGACCGGUGUGGUGUACCCUCCGAGGGCGGUGGCCGAAGGCCCGACGUGUCGCGUCCAGACUAAGCUUUGAAAAAAGGAAAUUCAUCCUGAAAUGCUACUAGAAGUUUGAAAAUGCAGUUGAAGUACAAACACAGCCUUUAUAUUUAGUCAAAGUGUGUAUACCCAGGGUGUCUCCCAAAAACUGUAUAUACACUUUAACAGCUGACGACUCGUUAUAGAUUCAAUACAAUCCCUAUUAAAAUACCAACGGCAUAUUUCACAGAUCUAGAACAAACACUCCAAAAAUUUAUAUGGAAACAAGACCCUGGGUAGCGACAGCAACCUUGAGAAAGAAGAACAAAGUUGGAGGAAUCACAAUACCAGAUACCAAGUUAUAUUACAAAGCUACUGUACUCAAAACAGCCUGGUACUGGCACAAGAACAGGCAGAUAGACCAAUGGAACAGAACAGAGAACCCAGAAAUCGACACAAGCCAUUCAACUCAAUAUUUGACAAAGGAGGCAAGAGCAUAUAAUGGAGUAAGGACAGUCUCUUCAAUAAAUGGUGUUGGGAAAUUGGACAGGUACAUUGAUCAUAAGGAAAAUGCUUCUAGCUUUUUCCAGUUGAGUAUCAUGUUAGCUGUGGGUUUGUCAUAUAUGCUCUUUAUCAUGUUGAAUGAAGUCCCCGCUAUUUCUUCUUUGCUGAGAGUUUUUAUCAUAAAUGGAUGUUGGAUUUAAAAAAUGUUUUUAUUAGUUUUAGAGAGAGGAAGGGAGAGAGAGAGAUAGAAACAUCAAUGAUAAGAGAAUUAUGGAUCGGCUGCCUACUGGGGAUCAAGUCUGCAACCUGGUGGUGGCAAAAAGUCUAGCAGCGGCCUUGAAAGUGACACUUCUGACUUACGGCAAAUUCAGAGGAAAAAUCAUACAAAUUUUUAACAUAACGAGUAAGAAAAGAGGAUGCAAAUUCAACGAUGAUCUAAGAAGUAAAUUUCCUUUUAUUAAAAAAACCAAAAGCGA